The sequence is a ribosomal RNA, 1246 nucleotides long. The stretch from base 290 to 1246 matches the Rfam family "Eukaryotic large subunit ribosomal RNA", at positions 1 to 942 of the family's 3401-position model.
AUAAGUAAUGUGAAUUGCAGAAUUCAGUGAAUCAUCGAAUCUUUGAACGCACCUUGCGCUCCUUGGUAUUCCGAGGAGCAUGCCUGUUUGAGUGUCAUUAAAUUCUCAACCUUUAUCUUGACUGAUAAAUGGCUUGGACUUGGAGGUUUGCCGGCAAAAGUCAGCUCCUCUUAAAAGUAUUAGCUGGUUGCCUUGUGUAAACUUGUCUAUUGGUGUGAUAAUUAUCUACGCCGUGGGCUGUUUACAAGCACUGCCUCUAACCGUCUUUUUGACAAUCCUAAKGACAAUUUGACCUCAAAUCAGGUAGGACUACCCGCUGAACUUAAGCAUAUCAUUAAGCGGAGGAAAAGAAACUAACAAGGAUUCCCCUAGUAACUGCGAGUGAAGCGGGAAAAGCUCAAAUUUAAAAUCUGGCAGCCUUCGGUUGUCCGAGUUGUAAUCUAGAGAAGUGUUAUCCGCGCUGGACCGUGUACAAGUCUCCUGGAAUGGAGCGUCAUAGAGGGUGAGAAUCCCGUCUUUGACACGGACUGCCAGGGCUUUUGUGAUGCGCUCUCAAAGAGUCGAGUUGUUUGGGAAUGCAGCUCAAAAUGGGUGGUAAAUUCCAUCUAAAGCUAAAUAUUGGCGAGAGACCGAUAGCGAACAAGUACCGUGAGGGAAAGAUGAAAAGAACUUUGGAAAGAGAGUUAAACAGUACGUGAAAUUGCUGAAAGGGAAACGCUUGAAGUCAGUCGCGUUGUCUGGGAAUCAACCUUGCUUUUGCUGGGCUUACUUUCCAGAUAAUGGGUCAGCAUCAAUUUUGAUCGUUGGAUAAAGUCGGGAGGAAUGUGGCAUCUUCGGGUGUGUUAUAGCCUCUUGUCGCAUACAACGGUUGGGAUUGAGGAACUCAGCACGCCGAAAGGCCGGGUACUUGUACCACGUUCGUGCUUAGGAUGCUGGCAUAAUGGCUUUAAUCGACCCGUCUUGAAACACGGACCAAGGAGUCUAACAUGCCUGCGAGUAUUUGGGUGGAAAACCCGAGUGCGCAAUGAAAGUGAAAGUUGAGAUCCCUGUCAUGGGGAGCAUCGACGCCCGGACCAGACCUUUUGUGACGGAUCUGCGGUAGAGCAUGUAUGUUGGGACCCGAAAGAUGGUGAACUAUGCCUGAAUAGGGUGAAGCCAGAGGAAACUCUGGUGGAGGCUCGUAGCGAUUCUGACGUGCAAAUCGAUCGUCAAAUUUGGGUAUAGGGGCGAAAGACUAAUCGAACCA